AUUGAACGCUGGCGGAAUGCUUUACACAUGCAAGUCGAACGGCAGCACGGGUGCUUGCACCUGGUGGCGAGUGGCGAACGGGUGAGUAAUACAUCGGAACGUACCCAGUUGUGGGGGAUAACUAACCGAAAGGUUAGCUAAUACCGCAUACGACCUGAGGGUGAAAGCGGGGGACCGUAAGGCCUCGCGCAAUUGGAGCGGCCGAUGUCUGAUUAGCUAGUUGGUAGGGUAAAGGCCUACCAAGGCGACGAUCAGUAGCUGGUCUGAGAGGAUGAUCAGCCACACUGGAACUGAGACACGGUCCAGACUCCUACGGGAGGCAGCAGUGGGGAAUUUUGGACAAUGGGCGAAAGCCUGAUCCAGCCAUUCCGCGUGAGUGAAGAAGGCCUUCGGGUUGUAAAGCUCUUUCGGCAGGGAAGAAACGGCCUAGGUUAAUACCUUGGGCUAAUGACGGUACCUGAAGAAGAAGCACCGGCUAACUACGUGCCAGCAGCCGCCGCCG
This 502-nucleotide ribosomal RNA is filed under the name uncultured bacterium. RNAcentral's name for it is "partial 16S ribosomal RNA". It matches the Rfam family "Bacterial small subunit ribosomal RNA", at positions 30 to 523 of the family's 1533-position model. The record is from RNAcentral.